CAUUCCCCAGCCCUGGAAACGAGCAGGAUCCGCUGCAAAUGGAAAUAACUGGUGUGGUCUGGACCCCAGAGCACCCAGAAUGGGCUGGAGGGAUGCUGAGCUCGGAAACAACCGGGGGACAGGAGGGGAAAAUCAAGGGGGUGCGGGUGAGGAAAGGGAUUUACAGAGCUUCCAGGGGUAUCAAGGCUUAAAUUCCUGCUGCUGCCUGGCUAAAUCCUCCACCCUGCCGGACCCUGCUGCUCCUGCCCUGUCGGGAGAGCAGCUGGUGGCUGUGCAGGGAAGGUCCUGCCUGGCUGUGGAUGCUGUCCCCACAGACACCCCUCGGCCUGGGAGAUGGAUGGGGUGAAGGAGCACGAUCUCUCCCCAGCUCCUAAGCGGGGAACUCUCACUUUCCGCCGAGACAAUUACGGAACCCUCGCCGAGAGCCUCUUGAAGGAAUGGCAGCCUCUGCUCCAGCUCUGAUUGCAGACGGGGGAAGUUGCUUUUCCAAGGGUCUGGCUGAUUAGGAAUCGAGCUCCAUCUCCCUGUUACCUGCAGAUGGGAUUUUUGUCUGUAUUAAACUAACAGUUUAAAGCCUCUUAA
This is a long non-coding RNA of Cyanistes caeruleus (blue tit), 582 nucleotides long. RefSeq lists it as uncharacterized. The record is from RefSeq and is a predicted model, not a curated record. NCBI's taxonomy places the organism in Eukaryota, Metazoa, Chordata, Aves, Passeriformes, Paridae.